CCUACGGGGGGCUGCAGUGGGGAAUAUUGGACAAUGGGGGCAACCCUGAUCCAGCCAUGCCGCGUGUGUGAAGAAGGCCCUCGGGUUGUAAAGCACUUUCAGUGAGGAAGAACGCCUGGUGGUUAAUACCCAUCAGGAAAGACAUCACUCACAGAAGAAGCACCGGCUAACUCCGUGCCAGCAGCCGCGGUAAUACGGAGGGUGCGAGCGUUAAUCGGAAUUACUGGGCGUAAAGCGCGCGUAGGUGGCUUGAUAAGCCGGUUGUGAAAGCCCCGGGCUCAACCUGGGAACGGCAUCCGGAACUGUCAAGCUAGAGUGCAGGAGAGGAAGGUAGAAUUCCCGGUGUAGCGGUGAAAUGCGUAGAGAUCGGGAGGAAUACCAGUGGCGAAGGCGGCCUUCUGGACUGACACUGACACUGAGGUGUGAAAGCGUGGGUAGCAAACAGGAUUAGAUACCCUGGUAGUC
Molecule: ribosomal RNA, 465 nt
Filed under: Vreelandella stevensii
Lineage: Bacteria; Pseudomonadati; Pseudomonadota; Gammaproteobacteria; Oceanospirillales; Halomonadaceae
Description: partial 16S ribosomal RNA
Rfam family: Bacterial small subunit ribosomal RNA
Source: RNAcentral